RNAcentral lists this ribosomal RNA (791 nucleotides) under Trigonostoma thysthlon. RNAcentral's name for it is "partial 16S ribosomal RNA". The stretch from base 1 to 633 matches the Rfam family "Bacterial large subunit ribosomal RNA", at positions 1803 to 2925 of the family's 2925-position model. The record is from RNAcentral. Lineage: Eukaryota; Metazoa; Mollusca; Gastropoda; Neogastropoda; Cancellariidae.
UUUAUCAAAAACAUGUCUCCUUGUAUUCUUAAUAGAUAAGGAGUCGGACCUGCCCGGUGAAUAUUUUAACGGCCGCGGUACCCUGACCGUGCGAAGGUAGCGUAAUUAUUUGCCUUAUAAUUGGAGGCUUGUAUGAAUGGUUUGACUUGAGCUAAUCUGUCUCUCUGUAGUUUUGUAGAAUUUUAUUUUUAGGUGAAGAAGCCUAAAUUGAAUUAAUAGACAAGAAGACCCUAUCGAGCUUUAAAUAAGUUAUUGGAUAAUAUUAAUAUUAUGUAUACUUAUAUUAGUUCGCAUUUAUAUAAAUGUAUUGAUAAAAGAUAUUGACUGAUAAAAGUUUUUGGUUGGGGCGACUAGGGAACAAGUAAAGCUUCCUUAAUGUAUUGGACUUACAUGUGUUGAUCCAAAGUUUUUGAUUUAAGGAAUUAGUUACCGUAGGGAUAACAGCAUAAUCUUUUUUGAGAGUUCGUAUUGAAAAAAGGGUUUGUGACCUCGAUGUUGGACCAGAAUGUCCUGAAGAUGCAGAAGUCUUUGAGGGUUGGUCUGUUCGACCAUUAAAAUUCUACGUGAUCUGAGUUUAGACCGGCGUGAGCCAGGUCGGUUUCUAUCUUUAAUUAUUUUUGUAAGCUUAGUACGAAAGGACCAGUUUAUAGUAUUAAAUGUUAUUGUCGAAGAAAUAUAAUUAGUGGGUUGUCAAAUUAGCAGAAUUUAAUGUGACUGAUUUAGGAUCAGUAGAUAUAGGUGGAAAUCUUUUAUUUGACAUAUAAAGAUGGCAGAUUUAGUGCAUUAGGUUU